UCGUUCGUAGAAUCGUAGAAAAAGAAGCAUACGCAUCGAACGAAAACAAGAAGAGUAUCCACCCGAACGUCACAGAAAACGAAACGAAAAGAACACAAAGAA
RNAcentral lists this non-coding RNA (102 nucleotides) under Fragilariopsis kerguelensis. Lineage: Eukaryota; Bacillariophyta; Bacillariophyceae; Bacillariales; Bacillariaceae. The record is from RNAcentral.